RNAcentral lists this ribosomal RNA (229 nucleotides) under uncultured bacterium. Its description in RNAcentral is "partial 16S ribosomal RNA". It matches the Rfam family "Bacterial small subunit ribosomal RNA", at positions 93 to 339 of the family's 1533-position model. The record is from RNAcentral.
GAGUGGCGCACGGGUGAGUAACGCGUGGGAACCUGCCAAGCAGUGGGGAAUAACCUUUGGAAACGAAGGCUAAUACCGCAUACGCCCUUUUGGGGAAAGAUUUAUCGCUGUUUGAUGGUCCCGCGUCCGAUUAGCUAGUUGGUAAGGUAAUGGCCUACCAAGUCUACGAUCUAUAGCUGGUUUGAGAGGAUGAUCAGCAACACUGGGACUGAGACACGGCCCAGACUCC